Molecule: long non-coding RNA, 424 nt
Organism: Asparagus officinalis (garden asparagus)
Lineage: Eukaryota; Viridiplantae; Streptophyta; Magnoliopsida; Asparagales; Asparagaceae
Exons: 3
Source: RefSeq, a predicted model, not a curated record
UCGAAGGGUCAUCACUGUAAUAAACCCUAGCCCUAAUGUUAGCAUUUCCCUCAAUUUCUACCCUAAACUGAUGGAAUCAUGGAGAAGAGAAGCGAGAAUUAACCAUGCCCAAGUUGAUAAACCCCAGGAGCAGGUUAUCUGCCUAGCACAGAAUUGACUUUGCAUGAUCUUCUGAAAAAGACAGCACUAGCGAAAUGCAGAGACAGAUAAACCCCAGGAGCAGGUCAUCUGCCUAGCACGGAAUUGACUUUGGAUGAUCUUCUGAAAAAAACAGCACUAGCGAAAUGCAGAGACAGGUUAGUUAUACUUGCCAGUCGGAGUUAUCGAUAAUUUUCUUGAGAUCUUUGCAAAUUUUAACUGUGCUAGGUCACAAUGUUAUAUCUUUUACUAUAUAUUUACCUUUAUAUUGCUUUCUAUAGUAUGC